CAGGGAGACAAUAAAUUGAUUGUGAUGUCUAAGUUAUUUAUUCUUAGGCCGCAAUCCUGUCACCUUAAGGUCGAUCGGUACCUCAGAUUUUUGAAUUAGUUUUACGAUUGAUUCUUUGAUUUCAGUUCCUAAACUUGUCUAGGUCACACCCAACAAAGGUUUCUCCUGGGCCAUUAGCUCAGGUGGUUAGAGCGCACCCCUGAUAAGGGUGAGGUCCCUGGUUCAAGUCCAGGAUGGCCCAUUCGUUGUUGGGGGUAUAGCUCAGUUGGUAGAGCGCCUGCUUUGCAAGCAGGAUGUCAGCGGUUCGAGUCCGCUUACCUCCACUGAAAACUAUCCUGAUAACUAAAUUUCUGGAGAAAAAAUUGUAGAUGUGGCUUAGAAUUGUCUAUUUGAAAAGAACCUAGCUUCUUGUCAUCUUUUUAUAGUUGAUAAAAUGCUGGGCUCGCAUGGAUUAUUUCCAUGAGAAUUCAGUAGAACCUUGAAAACUGCAUAGAUUAGAAAGAAUAAAGCAUCUCAUGGAUGCAUAGUUCUGUUUUUAUAAUUUAGCCUUAAAACUAAAUUAUUUAAUCCUAGAAUUCAUGUUUAAUUCUUGAGUAAUAGCCGAGCACAAUUGAUUUUGUGAUUGUAUUAAA
This 632-nucleotide transfer RNA is filed under the name uncultured Prochlorococcus sp. RNAcentral's name for it is "partial 16S-23S ribosomal RNA intergenic spacer". The stretch from base 251 to 323 matches the Rfam family "tRNA". Lineage: Bacteria; Bacillati; Cyanobacteriota; Cyanophyceae; Synechococcales; Prochlorococcaceae. The record is from RNAcentral.